Molecule: ribosomal RNA, 502 nt
Filed under: uncultured bacterium
Lineage: Bacteria
Description: partial 16S ribosomal RNA
Rfam family: Bacterial small subunit ribosomal RNA
Source: RNAcentral
GAUGAACGCUAGCGGCAGGCCUAACACAUGCAAGUCGAGGGGCAGCACAGAAACAGCAAUGUUUUGGUGGCGACCGGCGGACGGGUGCGUAACGCGUAUGCAACCUACCUUUAACAGGGGGAUAACGGAGAGAAAUUUCCAGUAAUACCCCAUCACAUCGUUCAAGGCAUCUUGAUUGGUUGAAAACUCCGGUGGUAAAAGAUGGGCAUGCAUUGUAUUAGGUAGUUGGUGAGUUAAUGGCUCACCAAGCCUACGAUACAUAGGGGGACUGAGAGGUUAGCCCCCCACACUGGUACUGAGACACGGACCAGACUCCUACGGGAGGCAGCAGUGAGGAAUAUUGGUCAAUGGGGGCAACCCUGAACCAGCCAUGCCGCGUGCAGGAAGACGGCUCUAUGAGUUGUAAACUGCUUUUAAACAGGGAUAAAGCACAGUAUGUAUACUGUGUUGAAGGUACUGUAAGAAUAAGGAUCGGCUAACUCCGUGCCAGCCGCCGCAGUAA